Molecule: long non-coding RNA, 2115 nt
Filed under: Lactuca sativa (garden lettuce)
Lineage: Eukaryota; Viridiplantae; Streptophyta; Magnoliopsida; Asterales; Asteraceae
Description: long non-coding RNA (LSAT_LNC003147)
Source: RNAcentral
GAAUCAUGCAACAUGUAUUGUAUGAUGAAUGAGAAUUUUUUAUCUUUGGGAAAUUAAGACUAAUCCUUGUUCACAUGCACAUGUGAGUCAAGUGAAGGACUAAAGGAUUGGGUAUAGUUGGUUAUGUGCUAAUCGGGUCCACCAUAAAGGUUGAUAAGAUUAUUCUUUAUGAUUUACUAAAGUUUAGUAAAUAUGGUUAUACUUACAAGUUUAAGUAUAAUUCUGAAACAUUGGAAACGUUUCAUUGUAUGAUAGAACGGAUAAGAAGAAUCAAAUAAGGCAGGAAGAUAAACGUUUUUCCAAUCUUGAGAGAUUGGAGAGUACUUGUAUAUCUUGUUUUAUGAUUAUCUUAGUGAUUAUGGAACCAUAUCACAGUUGAUCCUCUAAGGACACUUUAGUGUAUUUGUUGGCUAAGCGGAGGAAUCAUGUAUUUUGGAAAUGGUUAAAUCAAAAAGAUAAAUCGUACUUCAUUCUAAAAUCAAAUAUUAGAGUCAUACUCCAAGAUUGAGCCUUGAGUGACUUAAUCUUUAGAAAGUUAAUAACACUUGUCAAAUGUAGAAUAAGAUGUUUCCUAUUUUUGUACAUUUGAGAUUGGUAAGUUGUGAUGUUUUGGAUGCAACAAAGACCAACUAAGACCAAUUAUGAGAAGUGUUUAACUUGAUAAAAAUCCGCGCUAACUCUUCAAUAUUUGUUUUGUCAAGGAAUGGUUCUUGAAAAAGAAAACUUCUAUGUCAAGAGGACUGUGGGAGACUUGAGAUAGUUUCGAGAACUGAUCAAGAGUAUUGUUAAUCACUAGCCCCCGACUUAAGGUAUAUAACCUAUCGUGUUGACGUAUUUUUGUUUCUGUGCCAUUCUAGUUAAAGUUGGCCAUUCUAGUUAAAGUUGGCUAAGAUUGUGAAAAUCAUCCAUUAAUAAGCAAUAUUGGCAAAUGCUUUUGAUUCUUUCAUUUGUGGUAGUGUCAUAAUUUACCAAGUAAGGAAAGAUUCUCAUCACCUAAGUUUCAGUUUGAUAGAAACUUGGAAUCAUGCAACAUGUAUUGUAUGAUGAAUGAGAAUUUUUUAUCUUUGGGAAAUUAAGACUAAUCCUUGUUCACAUGCACAUGUGAGUCAAGUGAAGGACUAAAGGAUUGGGUAUAGUUGGUUAUGUGCUAAUCGGGUCCACCAUAAAGGUUGAUAAGAUUAUUCUUUAUGAUUUACUAAAGUUUAGUAAAUAUGGUUAUACUUACAAGUUUAAGUAUAAUUCUGAAACAUUGGAAACGUUUCAUUGUAUGAUAGAACGGAUAAGAAGAAUCAAAUAAGGCAGGAAGAUAAACGUUUUUCCAAUCUUGAGAGAUUGGAGAGUACUUGUAUAUCUUGUUUUAUGAUUAUCUUAGUGAUUAUGGAACCAUAUCACAGUUGAUCCUCUAAGGACACUUUAGUGUAUUUGUUGGCUAAGCGGAGGAAUCAUGUAUUUUGGAAAUGGUUAAAUCAAAAAGAUAAAUCGUACUUCAUUCUAAAAUCAAAUAUUAGAGUCAUACUCCAAGAUUGAGCCUUGAGUGACUUAAUCUUUAGAAAGUUAAUAACACUUGUCAAAUGUAGAAUAAGAUGUUUCCUAUUUUUGUACAUUUGAGAUUGGUAAGUUGUGAUGUUUUGGAUAACACAAAGNAUGUCAAGAGGAUUGUGGGAGACUUGAGAUAGUUUCGAGAACUGAUCAAGAGUAUUGUUAAUUACUAGCCCACGACUUAAGGUUUAUAACCUAUCGUGUUGACUUAUUCUUGUUUCUGUGCCAUUCUAGUUAAAUGCAUUUGAUUCUUUCAUUUGUGGUGGUGUCAUAAUUUACCAAGUAUGGAAAGAUUCUCAUCACCCAAGUUUCAGUUGGAUAGAAACUUGGAAUCAUGCAACAUGUAUUGUAUGAUGAAUGCGAGUUUUUCAUCUUUGGGAAAUUAAGACUAAUUCCUUGUUCACAUGCACAUGUGAGUCAAGUGAAGGAAUAAAGGAUUGGGUAUACUUGGUUAUGUGCUAAUUGGGUCCACCACAAAGGUGGAUAAGAUUAUCCGUUAUGAUUUACUAAAGUUUAGUAAAUAUGGUUAUACUUACAAGUUUAAGUAUAAUUUUGAUACAUUGGAAAGGUUUCAAU